Long non-coding RNA from Crotalus tigris (Tiger rattlesnake), 2095 nucleotides. RefSeq lists it as uncharacterized. The transcript has 3 exons. NCBI's taxonomy places the organism in Eukaryota, Metazoa, Chordata, Lepidosauria, Squamata, Viperidae. The record is from RefSeq and is a predicted model, not a curated record.
GGGAUCUGUGCAUCACAACUGCUCUUCAUCAAUCCAGAUGGUUUUCUGUUGCUCUUCCCAGACUUUAUCCUUGAUGAUCCGAAGAAGAUCUUCGAUGCUGCUCCACGAAUCCGUCUCCAAAGAGGCGUAAAGGCAGGUUGGCCCAGGAUAUUUACCUUGAGUGAGGGACAUCUUUGUUCCUUCGGAGAAUGGAAUCAUUUCCUGGAGGCUCCGGAGUGGUGGACAUAAUGCUGGCGCAGCGAUAUCUCAGGGUUUGCUGGGUUUCAGAAGGAAAGGCCAAGAAAAGAAACAAAGACAAGCCAUCAGUGGUGCAAUCCUGCCCAUCUUGGAUUGCCAGGCUCCGCCGUCUACAAGAGAGGCAGCUUAAGACAGCUUACAGCAGCACCGAGCAAGGAAAACAAACAGACAAGGCUGUCAAACAUUACAAACAGAUGAAGAAAUGGAACAAGUCUAUCAAAACAAUUUGAGCAAUCGCAACACACACCAAGAAAGGCUCCCUGGGAAAAAAAAUCAAUUGGAAAAUACAAAAAGCAAAUGUGGGGCAUGUAUAAUUAAAAGCGUUGUGGAAAGAAAUAUAUGAAAGUAACUGCGAUAUUUGUGGAGGCCUCAGUUGUCAUCCUAUCUGCAGGCAAUCUGAGUGGAGCUGAUUCAUAGAAAUAGAUUUUUCUGGACCGAGACUUUGGGGAGUGAUUUUAAGUGUCCCUCCUGCUGUUGACACUAAUCUUUCGGUCUGCAAACAUGUGUGAGCUCUUGCAGAAAGACCGAGCUAGUUGUCCCCAUGAGUGUAGACAAAUAUGUCUUUUGUACAACAGUAAUAGAUUCUCCAAAAGCUUUUGUUGGUGGUGCUUACAAGAAGAAUUCACAAGAUCUUUCCUCCAUCUAGAAAGUUGAUAUAAAGCAGGCUCACCUUGGCAGCUAUGUCCAAAAUUGAGAAAGCUGACUUAAAAAUCAUGGAUGUUAGGGAUCACUAGAAAGGGAGUGGACAGAAUCAUUGGAGAAAGAAAGCAUAUUAGGAAGCCGGUCAUUGUGAAGGAUUUUUUUGUCUAGAUUCCUGGGAGAGAGGGAGUGAAUGCUAGAGGAGGAAGAGACAACACAGAUUAGACACUUUGUGUGGGAGAAAGAGGAUGAAGUCAGCUCCUCCUCAAUGUUCCCAGAAUAGGUUUUUAUGGUCCGAGUUUGCUUUAGUUUGGCAAGAGUUCUGUCUACAGGCGAGAAACAAUAAAGAAAUCUGCUUAGAAGGACCUCAGUGUGUCUUUCUUGUUUUUUGGAACCUGACAUCAAUCUUGCCAAACUAAAGCAGACGACAUGCACCAUAAAACAUAUACUCUGGGAACUAUUAGGGAGGAGCCAUCUUCGCCCUCUUUCUUUCACACAAACUAUCUAGGCUGUGUUGUCUCUUGCUCCUCUGGAAUGCUCCUCCAUCCUCUUGGGAAUCCGGAAAACAUUCCAUCAGAGGCACUCAGCAUGCUAUCUGGGGAAUUCUGGGAGUUGAAGUCCACUCAUCUUAAAAUUGCCAAUGUUAAGAAACAUUGGUCUGGACUGGAUGCCCCUAAGUCUUGCCCAGCCUUGGGCGGGGCUUUGAUUUGGAGUCAAACCUGCCAUCUUGAGGUUUUUGACCCAGCUCCCUGCAGAUACCCGAAUUCAGAGCACCCAUUCAGAGCAGAAAUCCAGAAAGCUUCAGGUCGUCACACAACCAAGUGAGCAAUAGUUCAUUUCACUGCUAGAAGCCCCUGCUUAGAAAGUGUCUUUUAUUCUUCACCUAGCCCCCUUUUUUUAUCAACACCUUUUUUCUCUACUUCAUUGCUCCUACUAAGCUCAUAAUCACAUCCAAUGGAACCUCACAGACAGCUGUCAAAAGUCUAAAAUGUGUUUCUUUCUUUCCUUCUUCCUUUUAAAUAAAAAUGUCCAACCUUUGCAGUUUCAACCAGCUAACAAAAACUUUGCUGUUUUUUUCCCCUCGUGAACCUGUUUCCACAGGGAAACAAAACUGGGAAAGAUUGCUGGGAAUAUCUUCAGGGAAGUACAAAUUAGCAUUUGGAAAGGUGAUAGCAGUUGUGUGUGUGUGUGUGUGUGUGUGUGUGUUAAAAAGAGCAAA